Long non-coding RNA from Apodemus sylvaticus (European woodmouse), 1400 nucleotides. RefSeq lists it as uncharacterized. Lineage: Eukaryota; Metazoa; Chordata; Mammalia; Rodentia; Muridae. The transcript has 3 exons. The record is from RefSeq and is a predicted model, not a curated record.
CCAGGGGUGGUGGUGGUGGGUGUCCUGCAGGCCAGCGUCCAAAUUCUCCUGCCCCCACCGCGUCCUCAGCGGACGUGUCCGGGCCGCACCCUAGGGACGCGCCGGGAAAGUUCAGGCGCGAAGAAGCAAAAGCGCGCGCCGCCCCCGCCCCCACCGUGGUCCAGCCGCAGACAAUGGAAGCACGGCAUCUGCCCCACCACUCGGGAGAGCCCCGCAGGACUGUGCCCCGCAGCCCCCAGUCCCUGCCUCGCCAGCGUACGGGGCUCCGAGGUCCAAGGGUCCUCCGAGUGCCUGUCCUCCAUGCAUUUCAGUUUCUUCUGGAGGUGCAGCAGCUGCUCUUCCACCUGGGGACACAGAAGGGGACGAGUCAGCCUAAUGGUCUGUGCCCGGCGUUUGGGAGGUUGAGGCAGAAGAAGGCCUGGCAGUUUGAGGCCCUGCAAAUGAACACCAAGUCUAUAUGAGCUGGUGAGAUGGCUCCACAGGGAAAGGUGCUUGCGGCCAAGCCUGAUGCCCAGAGUCCAUAAACCUCACACAUGUGCCGCGGCCGUGUCAAUGUAGAAAGUAAAAGAGUUAUACAAAGAAGGUCUUGUUCAGAGGACACAAGUUUGUGAAAGUAAAAGAAUGCAGUGCUCCUGUUCUGAGAGUGAAUCUGUCCCCACCUCCCGCUGGAGGCGUCCCCUCAGUUUGAGAACCACUCAGCCAUGUGACACCAACUAGCUGACUCCUGUGUCAACUCCACAGGGUCUACUGCAUCUCCUGCUGCUCCUGACUCCCCGGCCACAGCCCUCCUCUGUGGGACAGAGCUUCCUGUCCUCCCUCAGCAGGAAGCACCAAGGGUGGCUGCCUUUCUGUAGAUUACCACCCACCAGCCAGCUCUUACCCACCCCCCACAGGACUGGAACCCAGUUCUUAAAAUAAAUUUGAUACGGACUCCAUGCUGGCACCAAGACUCCUCUCUGUGGACAGUAAGUGUCAAGGGAGAUGAUUACAUCUGCUGCCUUUUCCUCUUGACCCUGGAUUUCCUCCCGAGGGGAGUGCUUGUCAGAGGCGCACUCCCUGACAAGUGGAUAGGAGUGCGAGCCCACUCUCCAGGUAGCAGACCCAGGCUUAGCCAAGCCAGCAGAGAGCUGUCCCAGCUGCCUUGCCUUACAUCUCCAAGGCCACUCUGGGCGUGGUUCCAGUCAGCCUCUAGACGGAUGUGACUGGUCCAUCCCAUUGUUCCAAGAACUUCAGGCUAAAGGGAGGGCCUUGACCUCUGGGCAGAGAGCCUGGCGUCUUGCUCCCAGCCCCAGACAUGUGACCCCCCCUGGUCCCUUUUCUGGCCUUAGUUUCCCCAUCUACAGGACGAAAACCUUGAUCGGGUGAACUUUGAACAUUCUAGGGCAGGCAGCUGUCUUUGA